AUGAACGCUGGCGGCGUGCCUAACACAUGCAAGUCGAACGGAGUCCAGCCUUUAAGACCUUCGGGUCACAGAGGGGAAGACUGAGUGGCGGACGGGUGAGUAACACGCGGGCAACCUGGCUCAUAGAGGGGGAUAACAGAGAGAAAUUUCUGCUAAUACCGCAUAAGCACACACUGCCGCAUGGCAGAGGGUGAAAAGAGAAUCGCUAUGAGAUGGACCCGCGUCUGAUUAGCCAGUUGGCAGGGUAAGAGCCUACCAAAGCGACGAUCAGUAGCCGAUCUGAGAGGAUGAACGGCCACAUUGGGACUGAGACACGGCCCAAACUCCUACGGGAGGCAGCAGUGGGGGAUAUUGCACAAUGGGGGGAACCCUGAUGCAGCGACGCCGCGUGAGUGAAGAAGUAUUUCGGUAUGUAAAGCUCUAUCAGCAGGGAAGAUAAUGACAGUACCUGAAUAAGAAGCCCCGGCUAACUACGUG
This 477-nucleotide ribosomal RNA is filed under the name uncultured bacterium. RNAcentral's name for it is "partial 16S ribosomal RNA". It matches the Rfam family "Bacterial small subunit ribosomal RNA", at positions 30 to 507 of the family's 1533-position model. The record is from RNAcentral.